Molecule: ribosomal RNA, 478 nt
Filed under: uncultured bacterium
Lineage: Bacteria
Description: partial 16S ribosomal RNA
Rfam family: Bacterial small subunit ribosomal RNA
Source: RNAcentral
GACGAACGCUGGCGGCGUGCUUAACACAUGCAAGUCGAACGGUAAGGCCCUUCGGGGUACACGAGUGGCGAACGGGUGAGUAACACGUGGGUGAUCUGCCCUGCACUUCGGGAUAAGCCUGGGAAACUGGGUCUAAUACCGGAUAGGACCCUGGGAUGCAUGUCCUGGGGUGGAAAGCUUUUGUGGUGUGGGAUGGGCCCGCGGCCUAUCGGCUUGUUGGUGGGGUGAUGGCCUACCAAGGCGACGACGGGUAGCCGGCCUGAGAGGGUGACCGGCUACACUGGGACUGAGAUACGGCCCAGACUCCUACGGGAGGCAGCAGUGGGGAAUAGUGCACAAUGGGCGCAAGCCUGAUGCAGCGACGCCGCGUGAGGGAUGACGGCCUUCGGGUUGUAAACCUCUUUCAGCACCGACGAAGCGCAAGUGACGGUAGGUGCAGAAGAAGGACCGGCCAACUACGUGCCAGCCGCCGCCGUAA